Long non-coding RNA from Lepidothrix coronata (blue-crowned manakin), 817 nucleotides. RefSeq lists it as uncharacterized. The transcript is spliced from 3 exons. The record is from RefSeq and is a predicted model, not a curated record. NCBI's taxonomy places the organism in Eukaryota, Metazoa, Chordata, Aves, Passeriformes, Pipridae.
CACCUCUUGAUGUUUAAUUCUUUUUUUCACAUAUUGAUAUCCAGAGUUUAAAAUGGGUGCACCAAAAAUUUUCUCAAACCUAGACGUGCAUUGCUGAGCAAACUGGGGAUGGUCAAAAUGCUUGGAGGGAUAGCAGAGAGGCCACCAAUAUACUGAGGAUGGAACCCAAAAAUGGUCAUUUUUAGCCAUAAUGACGUGGGUGACAUCAUGGCAGGGGGAAAAAGAAAAGAUGAAGAGGUCAGGAGCAGAAAGUGCCAGAGUCUGAGAGGAGUUCCCCUGCUCUACAGACAAAAUACUUUAACAUGAAACACCUGUCUCUAAAUAGUUGUAGUAAAAUGUAUUUUUUGAGACACUUCCAGGCAGAACUUCACAUCAAGGAAGAACUCUGCUUGUGUUUCCUCAAACUGCUGUGGUUUGAAUGGACCCAAGUGCUUCAUGUAGCUCGUGCCUGCCUUUUGAUGCUGUGCUUUUUAUGAAUCCGGGACAAAAGGAGCAUGUCCAGAUGCUUCUCCCACAAGGGCACCAUCACCAUCACCAGCCAAGCUCUGGGAACCAUUUGCAGCUGGUGGGUUUUGUUGCCACAGGAAAGGCACCUUCAUCCAGCACCAAACCCAGAGCUCUGCAGAGGUACCACCAAAACCCAGGUAUGUUUGUGACAAUUACAGUUUAUUUUGGGGUAAUGGCCACACCUGUGGCCUCCCAGGGCCUGAAGAUGGAUCUAAAGGAGGUUUGUUCUUGCACACACACAGUUCCUCUUUUGCACUAAGCAAAUAAUCUUAAUUGAGAGAGGUGCAGACCUGCUGAUAUCCUCAAAGCU